AGUAACACGUGAGCAACCUGCCUUUCAGAGGGGAAUAACGUUUGGAAACGAACGCUAAUACCGCAUAACAUUGGGAUAUGGCAUCAUGACCCAAUCAAAGAUUUAUCGCUGAAAGAUGGGCUCGCGCCCGAUUAGGUAGUUGGUGAGAUAAUAGCCCACCAAGCCGACGAUCGGUAGCCGGACUGAGAGGUUGAACGGCCACAUUGGGACUGAGACACGGCCCAGACUCCUACGGAAGGCAGCAG
Molecule: ribosomal RNA, 245 nt
Filed under: uncultured bacterium
Lineage: Bacteria
Description: partial 16S ribosomal RNA
Rfam family: Bacterial small subunit ribosomal RNA
Source: RNAcentral